GAUCAUGGCUCAGAUUGAACGCUGGCGGCAGGCUUAACACAUGCAAGUCGAACGGUAACAUAAAGGAGCUUGCUUCUUUGAUGACGAGUGGCGGACGGGUGAGUAAUGCUUGGGAAUCUAGCUUAUGGAGGGGGAUAACUACGGGAAACUGUAGCUAAUACCGCGUAGAAUCGGGAGAUGAAAGUGUGGGACCUUCGGGCCGACCAUGCCACUAGGAGUGAGCCCAACGUGGGAGUUAGGUAGUUGGUUGG
Molecule: ribosomal RNA, 251 nt
Filed under: uncultured bacterium
Lineage: Bacteria
Description: partial 16S ribosomal RNA
Rfam family: Bacterial small subunit ribosomal RNA
Source: RNAcentral